AGUCCAGCAGACAUCAACACUGAGAAAGUGAACUAAACGAAAAAAAAAAAAAGAGAGAAAAGGAGCUGGAUGCUAUCAUAUGCUGAGAGAAAGGAAUUUACCUCCACCAACCUAUAGAAUUGAGGAUAUGAAGAAAAAAGAGACAGAGAGGAGGUCACUUGGCUGGAAACUGAUGGUGGCUGGAUAUAAAGACUGGAGAAGGCAAGAGUCAAAGCUGAUUUUUUGUUUCUGCCUUGGUGAAUGGUUUUCUGUUAACUGAGAUGGGGAAUGGCAGAGAAGCUGGUUUGGGGAAAUUUGGGAAGAGAUAACGAGGUUUCAUUCAAAUUCAUUGAAUGUGACAUACAUGUCUUAAGACACUCAGGUGGCAACCUCCUGACAAAGACUCAGGAGGGAGUUGAGAGCUGGAGUUAUAAUUGAGAGUGGGAAGAACACAGGUUCUGGUAAAUCGUGAGAGAGACUGGAGAUUUCUUAUUAAGAGCACAUGAAUGCUUGAGAUAGAAAACUGACAGCUGUGUGAAAGAAGCGGAGCCAAUGGGUAACC
Homo sapiens (human) is the source of this 541-nucleotide long non-coding RNA. The record is from Ensembl. NCBI's taxonomy places the organism in Eukaryota, Metazoa, Chordata, Mammalia, Primates, Hominidae.